This 109-nucleotide ribosomal RNA is filed under the name Neogale vison (American mink). The record is from RNAcentral. Lineage: Eukaryota; Metazoa; Chordata; Mammalia; Carnivora; Mustelidae.
GUCUACAGCCAUACCACCCUGAACGCGCCCGAUCUCGUCUGAUCUCGGAAGCUAAGCAGGGUCGGACCUGGUUAGUACUUGGAUGGGAGAUAUGUAUUUCGUGAAGAUU